RNAcentral lists this transfer RNA (73 nucleotides) under Paramuricea clavata. It matches the Rfam family "tRNA". From Rfam's summary of the family: Transfer RNA (tRNA) molecules are approximately 80 nucleotides in length. Their secondary structure includes four short double-helical elements and three loops (D, anti-codon, and T loops). Further hydrogen bonds mediate the characteristic L-shaped molecular structure. tRNAs have two regions of fundamental functional importance: the anti-codon, which is responsible for specific mRNA codon recognition, and the 3' end, to which the tRNAs corresponding amino acid is attached (by aminoacyl-tRNA synthetases). tRNAs cope with the degeneracy of the genetic code in two manners: having more than one tRNA (with a specific anti-codon) for a particular amino acid; and 'wobble' base-pairing, i.e. permitting non-standard base-pairing at the 3rd anti-codon position. Lineage: Eukaryota; Metazoa; Cnidaria; Anthozoa; Malacalcyonacea; Plexauridae. The record is from Rfam by way of RNAcentral.
GCCUAUGUAGCUCAGUUGGUUAGAGCGCUGCACCGGAAUCGCAGGGCCGUAGGUUCAAUUCCUACCAGAGGAC